Molecule: ribosomal RNA, 346 nt
Filed under: uncultured bacterium
Lineage: Bacteria
Description: partial 16S ribosomal RNA
Rfam family: Bacterial small subunit ribosomal RNA
Source: RNAcentral
CCUACGGGUGGCAGCAGUGAGGAAUAUUGGUCAAUGGACGCAAGUCUGAACCAGCCAUGCCGCGUGCAGGAAGACGGCUCUAUGAGUUGUAAACUGCUUUUGUACGAGGGGAAACGCAGAUACGCGUAUCUGUCUGAAAGUAACGUACGAAUAAGGAUCGGCUAACUCCGGGCCAGCAGCCGCGGUAAGACGGAGGAUUCAAGCGUUAUCCGGAUUUAUUGGGGUUAAAGGGUGCGUAGGCGGGCGGUUAAGUUAGAGGUGAAAUCCCGAGGCUCAACUUCGGAAUUGCCUCUGAUACUGUUCGCCUAGAGCUUAGUUGCGGUCGGCGGAAUGUAUGGUGUAGCGG